This 448-nucleotide ribosomal RNA is filed under the name uncultured bacterium. Its description in RNAcentral is "bacterial SSU rRNA". It matches the Rfam family "Bacterial small subunit ribosomal RNA", at positions 355 to 796 of the family's 1533-position model. The record is from RNAcentral.
UCGAGAAUUUUUCUCAAUGGGCGAAAGCCUGAAGGAGCGACGCCGCGUGGGGGAUGAAGGGCUUCGGCCCGUAAACCCCUGUCAUUUGCGAACAAACCUUACAAUCUAACAAACCGUGAGCUGAUAGUAGCGAAAGAGGAAGGGACGGCUAACUCUGUGCCAGCAGCCGCGGUAAUACAGAGGUCCCAAGCGUUGUUCGGAUUCACUGGGCGUAAAGGGUGCGUAGGUGGCAGGGUAAGUUUGAUGUGAAAUCUCCGGGCUUAACCCGGAAACUGCAUUGAAUACUACCUUGCUAGAGGUUUGGAGGGGGGACUGGAAUUCUCGGUGUAGCAGUGAAAUGCGUAGAUAUCGAGAGGAACACCAGUGGCGAAGGCGAGUCCCUGGACAACACCUGACACUGAGGCACGAAAGCUAGGGGAGCAAACAGGAUUAGAUACCCCCGUAGUCC